Panthera uncia (snow leopard) is the source of this 324-nucleotide long non-coding RNA. RefSeq lists it as uncharacterized. The record is from RefSeq and is a predicted model, not a curated record. The transcript is spliced from 2 exons. Lineage: Eukaryota; Metazoa; Chordata; Mammalia; Carnivora; Felidae.
CUCAAUCCUUAACAAUUACACAAGGAAGCAAAAGGAAAUCAGAAGGCUCUUCUCCAGGUUUGUCCUACCAAAGUUGUACUGUGGAAGAGACCUGAGUGAAAACAACUCUGAGGAAUAUUUCCAUGCUGUGUGUGCAAUGGAUGAAAGCUGCAUAGCAGUUAACUGGAAAUGCCACCUGUUAUACCUCUCCAAAGACAGGAGAGGAGUAGUAAUUUUCAAGAGUACCAAAAUGGUUAGGCUGCCACUUAACUAGACCAGUCAAAAAGAGUAAAAUGUAAAAGACAAAGCUAUCAUAUUACCUCUGAAAACACAAGUUCUCUAUCU